GGGGGCGAUUCGGAUUCGACGACGGUAUUGAACCCUGAGGUGCAUGCCGAGGGCGUAGUGGUUCUCGUUAAUCAAAACACUACAAACCUAUUAGUUGCCAAUGAUAGCAACUUUGAAGCUGCAGCAGCCGCUGCUUAAUCGUACUUAACACUACGAAGCUUCCAGUCUAACCGGCUCGUCUGCUGGCUGGUAUUCAGACUGUCAUCGUAAGCGGGCUCGCCACGAUCAGCAGGUCUCUGGCUGACGGGUUAAAACUUGUGAGAAUCGCACUGAAGAACCCCGACCACUGGGUCGCUACGGUGUAAAAACUAAAGGUGGAUCUAAGCAUGUAGAGCCAAAGGCUGAGAGCUGGCGGACGCGGGUUCAAGUCCCGCCGCCUCCACCA
This 385-nucleotide transfer-messenger RNA is filed under the name Endozoicomonas acroporae. It matches the Rfam family "transfer-messenger RNA". From Rfam's summary of the family: Bacterial tmRNA, also known as 10Sa RNA or SsrA, is named for its dual tRNA and mRNA-like properties. Lineage: Bacteria; Pseudomonadati; Pseudomonadota; Gammaproteobacteria; Oceanospirillales; Endozoicomonadaceae. The record is from RNAcentral. RNAcentral also lists the same sequence under 2 other names.